CCGCGGUCGUCCGGCGGCAAGACGCUUUUAAAUACAAGGCUACUCUCAAAAUCGACCGGCCAUGUUGGUUUGGACACACAUUCGCAUCAGUUCGUCGCUCAAUCGCGAGUUACAGCCUGCAGUUUGCUAGCUAGCAAAGUCAUCGACUACCAUCGUUUAAAUACCUUAACCGGUUAUGCUCUGGCCAUCUUCACCCAAGAGACCUACUGUUGGUCAAUUGUUUUGGCUUUAAAGGUAAAUGCAUUGUUAGUCACACUGUCUAGUCACUGGGCCAAAAGGAAAAUAAUAUUGAAAAGAGUUGAGAGGGACAAACAGGACAUUCACUUGAAUCACUACAUGCUACAGAAGUUGCAUCGAUUCCAGAAAACCAGGAAAAUGUUGAGCCAUCUGUAGACUUCAGAGCUGAACCAGGUUUCUCCCCAGUAAUCCAGACUCCACUUCACAGAGCCAAGAGUUUGAGUACAAGUAAGUGAUGUUAUUAGUGACGUUUUUUGUCUUGGAAACUAUUGCUUCUAUUUAAGAUUAGGAAUCCUUUUAUCCAUAAUCUGUUUUUCAUUAGGGCACUUGACUUUCUGGAUAAAAGGUGUCGAGGUGUGUUGUACAUAUCAUUAGCUUUGCACAGUUCAAUUAUUGUUUCAUUACUGAAUAUGCAAUCUCUGCAGUGAAAUUAAAGCUGUUAUGUUUGUUCCCCCAGCUCGUCAAGUACUAAGCUUUACACCACCAGCAGCAAAUUUACACUGGCAGCAUAUGGGUGAAAACGCUGGAUGCAUGUAAUACGUUGCGCUAAACUAAGUUUUACAUUUAAGUCCAAUUCAUUAAAUGUAUGCAAUUACUUCAAACAUAUUUUUACGUCAAUGAUUAUCAAUAGGAGAAAGUAAUCACUUUGUUAUUGGCCCUUGGACGCCCCUGGCAUCUCGUGUACAGCACAAAGUUUUCAGCUAUGAAGGUAUAUUCUAGGCCUAUGUCUUAUUGUCCAGUGUUUUAACAGUAUUGAAAAUAUUGCCUUUAGUAGUUGUUUUUUUAAUUUUUUUAUGUAGAUUUCCAGAGACUCCAGAAUGAAAACCAAGCCCUGAGGGAAUGCAAUGCACAAGCAGCUUCGGAUGACAGCGGCUCACUUCAAGAGCAAGUGAAGCAAGUAGGGACAAUGUUGAAGACGUUUGCUCUCACUGGGCAAUCAGGUGCGUUACCUAAAAGGAGCAUCGGACCGUGAAGGCAGAAAAAGGCGCCGCACAGCUGAGAAGGACCCACAGCCGACCCCUAAACCUAGGCUACUGACACCCCAGCAUCACUGAACUGGAACACUUUCUUUAUCCUGCAGUCAGUAACAUCAAGAAGCCAGAAGUGCCAGACUACACUCACCAAAUCCACCCUGUUUUUUUUGGUAUUUUAACUUUAGUAUUGGCUUAUUUCAUUCCGUCUUAACGAUUCUAUUAUAGUUUGUAAAUCCUUUUUCAUACCUGUUACUUGAUAUUGCACAUUAACUAGUACCAAAAUUCUACUUUCAUUUCAUCAGUGUGCUUAACUGUUAUUCUAUUAAUAAUAGCUUGGAAAUACUAUUUCAUACCUCUGAUACUUGAUAUUGCACAUUACCUGGUACCAAAUAUUCUACUUACUCUGUUUUUAACAUCAGCAUUUUUCAUUCCGUCACAGUGCUUAACUGUUAUUCUAUUGUUAAAUAUAGCUUGUAAAUCCUUGUGCCACAGGUCAGCAUUGCAUUUAUAAUGGUCUGUUCUACUACUGUUUUUACCUCCGUAUUUUUAUAUAAAUAUAUAUGUCAAGUUUUGUUUAUCACAGAUACAAGAGACAGAUCUUAUUGCAGCACGGUGUAAAUCUUGUGCUACAGGUCAGCAAUGCCAUUAUAAUGGUAUAUUCUACUCUAGAGCUUUACUCUAAAUUAUUACCACUUUUCCUAUUGUUAGAAAUGGCUUGAAAAUGUGAUGUUAUACCUCGAUUUAUUUGGUAUCCUGCAUGUUCUUUGGUACCAAAUAUCCUCAUUACUUGUUAUGUUUACUGGUAAUUAUUUUCAUCCCAGAGCUGACCUUUUUAUAUUAUUAACAAUUAUUGUGUUUGUGUUAUAAUUUGCUCGUAUUGCUGUUUUUUUUUAACCAAAAUUUAAUUGGAAACCUGCAUGUUCUGUAGUGUGUAUUUAUAUGUAUAUUUUUUUCUGCCUGUUAUUUAUUUCAGUGAUCUGACACAUCUUGUUUGAAUGACAGUUACUGUACUUUGAAAUGUGGAAUUAAAACACC
Molecule: long non-coding RNA, 2246 nt
Organism: Esox lucius (northern pike)
Lineage: Eukaryota; Metazoa; Chordata; Actinopteri; Esociformes; Esocidae
Source: Ensembl